UUUCCAUCUAUUUGUGCCUCUGUCGAUCGUCCUCUCGUGGGUCCUCUCCUCCAGACGUCCCUCAACCUUCCUCCUCUGAUGUCAGAACCAGCGUCCUGAUCGAGCUCCUUGAUUCUUUUCCAGAUGGAUGAACUGCACCGUACCUUUCACCUCUCAACUCUCCCUCUGUUGGUUUUCCAUCUUUUCCUAACACAUGUCUGCCAAGGUCAGUCUGAACUGAUCGGUUCAUCUCAGCCAAUAGUAGCAACUCUUGGUGAAGAUGUGGUUUUACCAUGUUACCUGCAGCCUG
Molecule: long non-coding RNA, 289 nt
Organism: Mugil cephalus (flathead mullet)
Lineage: Eukaryota; Metazoa; Chordata; Actinopteri; Mugiliformes; Mugilidae
Exons: 3
Source: RefSeq, a predicted model, not a curated record